RNAcentral lists this small nucleolar RNA (67 nucleotides) under Anisakis simplex (herring worm). RNAcentral's name for it is "Small nucleolar RNA SNORD2". It matches the Rfam family "Small nucleolar RNA SNORD2". Lineage: Eukaryota; Metazoa; Nematoda; Chromadorea; Rhabditida; Anisakidae. The record is from Rfam by way of RNAcentral.
CUGUGCGAUGAUGGCAUACCAUCUUUCGGGUCUGAACGUGAUGAUACCCAAUUUCUACUGAGCACGU